Mirounga angustirostris (Northern elephant seal) is the source of this 4366-nucleotide long non-coding RNA. RefSeq lists it as uncharacterized. Lineage: Eukaryota; Metazoa; Chordata; Mammalia; Carnivora; Phocidae. The transcript is spliced from 3 exons. The record is from RefSeq and is a predicted model, not a curated record.
CAGGCAGGGGAGCGGGGGGAAGGACACGGGGACAGGCAGCGGAGUGGGGGAAGGACAUGGGGACAGGGCAGGGCCAGACGUCCGGAGGGACUCCACGUGAAGCCAGGAUUGCUGAGGCAGUGAAUUUCAAAGACUGUGUGAUGCCUGCAACCAGUUACCACAUUUCCCUGGAGGAGCCAUUACCACCCGCUCCCCCAGAGUGUAUUAGGCGGCUCCCUCACCACCAUCCAUCUUGGGCGCCGACAGGAGGACUGUGACGCCACGAAGAACACGUUUCCUGUGGUGAGAGGAUGAUUUUCCUGGUGGACAAGUGUGACUCGGGAAAAUGCUGUCUCCUCCUGGCAGAUUCCUUGGGGCCCCAAGGCAGACGUGUUGUGGAGCGGACGAAUCUCCCCCCUGGGCCAGCUGGGGCACCUGGCUGAUGAGCCUGCUCAGUGUCUCCGUGUCUGUGACUUUGACAUUGAGCACGUGUUUCCAGGGAUCCAGAAGAGCAUUCGGGGCUCUUGGGGGAAGACUUGCAAGAGUGGCAUGUGAGUGAGGCGGAGGGUACGCACGGACCAUCCAGCGCGGGUCCCGGGUCUUGUGACCCUGACAUCGGGGUGUGGUUCGCUGAGAAGCGACUGGCACGGGCAGCUCGGGGAGCCCUGAGCGCCUCCUGUCAACCACACAGAAGCCUGGGUCCUUGCGUCCCCUUUAUCAGGGUGCUCGCAGCAGCUGCUACACGGUGAGGCCUGCUUGCAGGUAGGCAUUUCUACUGAAAAUCAGCUAAGAAUGCAGGAUUCCCAGCUUUAAAAACAACCACAAACACUUCAUGGAUUUGUCAGCAUGGGGCCUGCAUCCCCAUGGCCAGAGCUGCCUGCAGGGCCACUCCGUCUGCACGCGGCUUGUUUUCCUAGACCUGUGGCCCUGCCUGCUUCGUCGUCGUGUCACCUUCCGGCCUGCUAGCCACUGGAUUGGACCCUACUUCCUGGCGGUAAAUACCCCCCUCACCCCCGUCCAGUACGCCCACUGACCAUGCACUAACCCUGCCUGUGGCCGCACAUGUCCGCGGAGCCAGGCCCUCCUCUCCCCGCCGGCCCUGUCGAAAGUCUCCCCGGCUGCACACCUGCUCCUCACCAGCAGACUCGCCUCAUUUCAGUUCUUUCCCACACUCAGCACAGACACUUCCUGCUCAGGCCACGGAAGGCCCAGCAUCACGAAGUCCAUCUUCAGGUGCAACCCUGGGCCACCCCGCAGACUUGACACUUGCCGGCCACUUCCUCUGUGUACACUCUUGACACGUGGCUUUGCAACCCUGCACCAGUGGGGUUCUUCCUGCCCCCGGUGCUCCUUCCCAGUCUUCUUGCCAGGCUCCCCCUCCUCUGCCUGGGUGUUAGGUGUCCCACACAGAUGCCCACAGGCUCCUGUCUCCGUGUUCAUUCCCCGGCCUUCAAGAUGGUCCAUACAGUGACAGAUCCCAAAUUUAUGUGUCCAGAAUGUUCCUGUCUUCUAGCUCCAGACUCAUAAAUCAGGUGUUUACUUGAUGUCUGCAUUUGGGUGGCUCAUGGGCAGCGCAGUCCACAAGCCAGGAGUAAGCUCCAUUCCAGAACUCACUGUUUCUGAUGUAAUACGUGGAACCACAGGCCGUCGACUUAUUCAUUCUUUGUAUUGUGUCUCCCUCCUCAUAUCUGACCCAGCACUAACCUGUUCAUUUCAUGGCCCAAAUUCCCUUAGAUUCCCUGGAAUCCAUCUGCUUUCCCCAUCUCCAUGGCCUCCACCCCAAGGGAACAGAGGCCUGCUGCCUGCACAGCCUCCUGACUGGUCCCGUGACUUCCACAGAUGCCCCCCGCCCCCUCUGCACUCCCUGUGGCAGGUUGAAUGACCUUUUAAAGAAGCACAUCUGGUCAUCUGCCUCAGCUGCUGGGGACCCCCCCCUGCUCCUCUCACACCAGCAUAAGAGAAAGCCCCCCCCGCCAGGCCCAAAGCCCAGCGUGCCUGUCUCAGCCCCCCUGUGCCCCCUCCUCUUCCACCCCUGCUCCAGCCACAGGGCCUGUGCAUAUGCUGUUCCCUCUGCCUGGAGUGCCCCCCUGCUCCCAUUCCUGGCCGCUCCCGGUGGCCCCCCUUCUCAGCUCUGCUGUCACUCCCCAAGGGACCCUUCCCUGACCUUUGCGGACCAGGUAGGUGUCACCGUUGUCUCUGUUUCCCUGGUGACACUUACAUACCUCAUGAGCUCAUUCCGUUCCUGUUUCUGUUUUCACGAGACUGUCCACUCACCUGCUUUUAUUCAUCAUGACAUGCACAGCACAUGGCAUAGAGUAGGGGCUCAGUAGAUACCUACAGAAUGGAUGAGCUACAGAUAAUAGCCCUGGUACCUGGGAAUCAGAGGCUAGAGACCGUGGGUGCCACAGUGAGGCUGUGCUGGCUGCAGGACUCGAACCCAGGUCUCUGCGACACCGGGGUCUGCUGCCCCUGGACUCACAGACUUCUGUCCCUUCUCUGUUCUGUCCAUAGGAGGGUUCAGGCCCCCCUCUGCAUCUCAUUGGCGUUCGUGCCUCAGGAAGCAAAUGUGUCGUGUUACUGAGUCAUGACAUGACACACACACACCUCCGUUAGUCACACGGGUGCUCGGUUAGCCUAGAGAUCGGAAGGGAGAUCCCCUGCAAAGGUUGCUUCAGCUGUGGGACUGUGCUUUUCUACUGAGAAAAGACCAUACAUCGGAGUUAAUAUAAUUCACGAUAAAAGCAUGAAAACACACACUGCUUUGUCGAGACAUGGAACCACGCAGUUGCUAAAAAUGUCCGUAAAUUCUACGAGAUGCUAACUACAGUGUAGAUCAAAGUCUUACUCAAACAGUUAAUUAUUGUGAAUGUGGGUGUAAGAGGCAGGAUCACUGCAUGGCGAUGCCCCUGUCACAAGGUCUACGAUGGAACCAUGUCGCUAAAUGUGCCCUCCACCUCCUUUGUCUUAUUUUUGAAAGCACAAAAGCCCACGGAAAGCGGUGCAGCCCAGGCUGCCCGUCCCGCGUGGGUCUGGCGCACGGGGCAGUGCGAGCACUCGGCAUCUGUGGGCUCCCGGCGGCUCCGUCAGGAGGUCUGAGUCCGUUCUGCGAUUUUUUUCCAGUUGAAGCAUCUGUGCCCAAGUCACCAGGCCCUUGUUGGUGCAUCAGCAGACUGGAAACCCUGCCUUGCGUUUCCAUGUGGACCAGUGUCUUCACAGCGGAGCCCAGGCCAGGAGCCCGCUCCCCGUGUCUCAUGGCACCGAGUCCCCGCCGCAGCCGCUGGCUCGGGGCCCAGGUGGGGUCUGAUGGAGGAGGCCGCGGAGCAGGGCCGCAGCAGCCUGAGGGUCCGGUCCUGGGCAGGGCCCGAUGGCCCGAGGUGCUCCAGCUCCCGCCACCUGCUCCGAGAGGUCAGGGGUCACUGACCAGCCACGGUCACCGCGCAUUCCUGUCUCUGUGUCUUCCCAUCUGCCCCUGACCUCGGCCCCAGCGUGAGCUCCGCGGCCGGCACACCUUCCAUCGGGGGCGAGACGGUGGUGUCCCGUGGGCAGAGUUACAGCCCUCGUUCACGGUCACCGUCACCGGGGAGCCAAGGGACGGCUUCCAGGGCUCCUGGGGGUGAUGGUGAGGCGGCGCCACGUUGCCGAGCCCGUUUCCCUCCUGCAGCAGGGACGGGCUUCUCUGGAGGAUGCUGGUGGUGGGGGUGGCAUCUCCUCCUCCAUUCUCGUCCUGCGUCUUCAUCAGUAAGGAUUUGCUGAGCACAGGCGGGCAGACUUUGUACAAAAGAGGAAACGGCUCCUCUGGAAGGGCAGCUGGGCAGGACGGGUGAACCUCCAUCAGGAUCCCUGCUGAGUGGCACACCACUGCCAUCAGGCAUGGAGGUGUCCGGCCGCUGCCAGGCUGCAUCUGUCCCUGCGUCUCCUUGUCCCAGCAGCGUCACUGCGGCUGCAGAGACGAUGCACCGCUGGCUCAGCCCUGGGUGACAGGUUUCAACUCCAGGGGACGUGGGGUCCUGGAGGAAGAUCUGGGCUCAGGGAGCCAGGAAGUGGGUCCAUGGGUGCUGAACAGCCGCAGCAUUUUCCUGAGCCCAGGGCCAGGCGGGUGUGGGCUCAGAUGAUGGACCUGUGACCCCCUUCCAUAGACUGGCUCACAGCGGACAACGUGAAGCAGAGGAAGAAGGGGCAGAAACGGGAGUCCGUGCAUCUGCGGGUGAGGGGCGUGGUGGCCCAUGGGCUGGGACCUCCUCGAGGCCUCCUCAAAGCCUGCUUCCCACUGUGAGUGGAAAGGAUCACUUUUCAUGGAAAAUAAAAUAGGAAGGUUUGGUGUGGUGUUCAUAACAGCCCUAGAGCCAGGCUGUGCACCAGAUCAGCCUUUCACCAUGUUUUAAACCCA